UCCAGCCAUGGCACUGGUAGGGGAAGAAUGCAUUGGAGACCUGACCUGUUAAAGGGACAGUUCUGGGAAGUAAAGGCAUCUUCUGUGGAGCAAACCAACAAACAGUGGGCAGAGGCUUCUUAAAUGCAUCCCUGUUAAAGGAGCAGGCAUGUUACAGAGUGUGAGCACAAUUUACUCUCUGGCGACUAUAGGCAAAACAGGUGGGACCCAGGCUGUGGGUGGCAAAACAUCCACUCUGAACCGUGGUGCAGUGGAACAAGUCGCCUAAAAUCUGCACUAGGGGGAUCUGGAGCCAGCGGACCCUGCUCCCAAAUCAUGUCUCGUGUUGCACCUCCGAGGUGUAGAAGCUAGACGAAAUGUAAAGUUCUCCACCCCUGGUGAUAAUAUAAAACAUUAAAGCUGCGCCCUGAGAGACGUCGUGAACAUCCAGAGACAAACACUUGAUCCUGUGGGACUUCCCCCAUAAGCAGCAGCGAUGGAUUAACCCUUUCCAUUGCCAUGGGGUGAAGUUAAAAAUGUUCCCCACCCACCUACCCAGCCAACUCCAUUUAAGGACCAGAAGUGUGUGGGUGAGGAAUUGUCUGCUAUCCACUUAGGCUGCCUAAAGGACUGACACCAAAUCAUUCAAGGAGACAAAACCACAAGUCACAGGUGAUCAGAAAUCAACCCUGCCUGUCGUAGAACAUACAGCAGGGUUCUGAAAAUUCAUCGGGUUUGGUGGCACUGACGGGGACCUAUGCACAAGCCUUUCUCCAUCCCAGCAAUGGAUAUAUCGGGGACCCCCUAAAUGACUGACCCGGAGCUGGGGCCGGCUCCUCAGCUGAGUCAAUGGAGCUGCGCUCACUUACACCCGCGGAGGACCAGGCUGACCAUUACCCCACAGAUGGGACCCCGCCCCCACCAGCUCGGAAGGGAGCGAGACGGGGUGCUGCUUGCUGACAAAUAUCCGUUCUGCCAAGGAACACUUCUAAAGGAACAGGGUCUGGCUGCACGUACUGUAGUAGGCUAGUAAGCUCAGGAACAUCGGAGCUGUCAGCUAUGGAGAAGGUCUAGCCAGCCAGGGUAGGACUGGCCCCUUGCUGUAUAUUUCCCAGUACUUUCUCCAGCCCCAGCAGCUGAAUGCAGGAAGAUUGUUCCAACAUCUCACAGAGCUCACCGUCAGCACGCCAGUCGGUCUGUGAUACGUCUCUGGUCCCCGUUAAAGGAUAGGUGUUGUGAGGUGCUCAGAUGCUCUGUGGGAGAGAACAGGACUAUUCUCCCCGGUGUACAGAUGGGGAAACUGAGGCACAGAAAGGCUAAGUGACUUGCCUCAGGUCACAAAGGAAGUCGUGGGGGAGCAGGGACAUGAACCCAGAUAUCCAAAUCCCAGGUUAGGGGCCCUAACCACUGUGCCAUCCUUCCGUUGGCGCUAGUCCAUCUAACUUCCCCUUUGCUCAGCUUCACCCCACUAUGCCUAGAUA
Malaclemys terrapin pileata is the source of this 1460-nucleotide long non-coding RNA. RefSeq lists it as uncharacterized. The record is from RefSeq and is a predicted model, not a curated record. The transcript is spliced from 3 exons. Lineage: Eukaryota; Metazoa; Chordata; Testudines; Emydidae.